GGCUCAAACAACCCUCCCGCAUCAGCCUCCCACGUAGCUGGGAUUACAGGUGAGUGCCACUGUGCCCUGCUUAGUGGGCCUUUUAAAUCGGAAGAUUCAAGUGUUCUUUGAGUUUGGAAAAGUUUUUCUGUAUUAUGUCCUCAAAUAUUUUUUCAAUUCUAUCUUUUAGGGUAGAGAGGUGGCUUCUGUUUCAGGGUUGGAUAUCAAUUUACCUUCUAUUUCUAUUCCUUUCUUGAUAGUUGCUUUAAUUGUUGUUUUUCCCCUCUGUUUUAACUUGAAUUACCUCAAGUAUUUCCCUGAUGUGUUCAUUUCAUUUUGGGGGCUGGGCUUUUUUGUGCCUUUGUUUUUUUUUCUCAUUUAUAGAAGGUGAUGAUUUCCUGGUCCUUAAUUGUUUCUUUAGCUGCCUGAUCUCUUCUUUCAUCUCAUUCUUUUUAUAGUUUGUUUCAACUUUGAGUUGCCUGGGUAUUUGUCCCCAAGGGUUACCAAAGAGGCCGAGGAACGUUCUUGCCCUUGACACUGUAGUAUAGCUUGGGGAGAGAGAACAAACACAGAAAAAGUUAAAUGACGAUCAACACUAUACGCUCAAGGUGUCCGUCCCAUCACGUGGCCUUGAGGAAAGAGCAGAAGUGCAGGAAGGACAAACCCACACCUGUGGGUGGGAUCUGCAGCCAGCCUGGGAUGAGGAAACUGAAGCUCAGAGGGAUGAACUGUCCUGCGAAGGUCCACGGCUAGUACAUAGAGGAGCGCAGAUGCAUGCAGUCCCUCCGACUCGGAUGUCUGUGUACCGUCCUGCCCCCUCCCACUGCAGCCUGCAUCACAGACUGGAGUUAAGAGUGCCACCGUAUUAGGUCUGUCCCAGAGGGAAAGGCCAAGGGGGAGGGUGUAGAGAACAGGAGAGCUUUGCUGUGAUGUGUAGGGUGGGGGUGUUGUGAGGGUAUAUAUUGGAGGUUGUGUAUGAUGGAAAGGCAGCAAGACACUGUCUUAUGCUUAAUUGGUCACUCCUUGGCUGGGGACUUCACUUCUCCCACCAAAGUCCCAACCCUUGCCUGCCAUACCCCACUCAGACUGAAGGCGUUGGAGUAGCUGGCCGUCUGUCUCUGUCCUCUCUGACUUUAACGUGGGGCUGGGACAGGCUGCUAGGCUCAGUGCCAGGAAGCAAGACAAGGGGCUUGCAGCAAGGGCUUAGGGUAUAAGCACGUUGGCAUCGGCUGAUGGAUUUAUAAGGGCUCUGCAAUUAGGACAACUCCUAAUUCAAAGAAAUGCAGAAUCUGCUCAAACCUUGCUUUGUAUAGCCUGUUGGAGGGACAUGUGCUAUGUGUGUGUGUGUUUAUAUAUAUAUAUACACAUACCAGAUAUUACAUUACUACAAUGAUAAUAUGAGGUAGCUAAUGCUUACAUAAUGCUUCCUAUGUAUCAGACACUAUUUUAAUUUCUCUAUGUAUUAUAAAAUUUAAUCCUCCUAGCGACCCUACAGUAUCUCCUUUUGUUAUCCCCAUUUUGUAGAAGAGGAGCCUGAGGGACAGAGAUGUUAAGUAAUCUAUUCCAGCUAGCUUGGGUGGUAAGAGACAGGCUUCAUAAAUGCAGCCAUGUGCUUUGUAAACCUUGUACCCGUGCCCUUAACCAUGCCAUUGGAUGGCCCUAUCAUCCCAGGCAUGGUGACAGGCAUCUCUGACUCCUGUCCCCAGUGGGACUGAUACUUCUUUCAGGUUCUGAGAUUGUUGAGGCUGGUGAGGCUUCUCAGUUAAAGUAAAAAAGAUUUUGGCUGGGUUUUAUUUAGACCAGAGUUUCCAUGGCUGUUUUGAACAAUCCAGUACUCAGCCUGCUGGCUCUCUGGUGUUUGCAACAAGAGCCAUUUCUAUUGAAAGACUAAGGAAAGAUGGUCCAGGUGAACCCUGGACAGAAGACAAAGGAGGUUAAAGGCAACAUCUUCCCCCCGCUGGCUUGAAAAUCGUCAUCUUUCUCCCCAGGAAUCAAUUUCUUUGCAUCCUGAAUGUUUAAAAAAAAGACUUGUGUCAUUAAAAAUAAAGUUUUUUUUUUAAAGGAAAAAAA
Callithrix jacchus (white-tufted-ear marmoset) is the source of this 2049-nucleotide non-coding RNA. NCBI's taxonomy places the organism in Eukaryota, Metazoa, Chordata, Mammalia, Primates, Cebidae. The record is from RefSeq and is a predicted model, not a curated record.